RNAcentral lists this transfer RNA (77 nucleotides) under Deinococcus soli (ex Cha et al. 2016). Its description in RNAcentral is "tRNA-Asp". Lineage: Bacteria; Thermotogati; Deinococcota; Deinococci; Deinococcales; Deinococcaceae. The record is from RNAcentral.
GGUCCCUUGGUGUAGCGGCCCAACACACUCCCCUGUCACGGGAGAGAUCACGGAUUCAAAUUCCGUAGGGACCGCCA